UACGUAGGGUGCGAGCGUUAAUCGGAAUUACUGGGCGUAAAGCGUGCGCAGGCGGUUUUGUAAGCCAGAUGUGAAAGCCCCGGGCUCAACCUGGGAAUGGCAUUUGGGACUGUAAGGCUGGAGUAUGGCAGAGGGGACUAGAAUUCCUGGUGUAGCAGUGAAAUGCGUAGAUAUCAGGAGGAAUACCGAUGGCGAAGGCAGGUCCCUGGGCCAAUACUGACGCUCAUGCACGAAAGCGUGGGGAGCAAACAGG
This 253-nucleotide ribosomal RNA is filed under the name uncultured bacterium. RNAcentral describes it as "partial 16S ribosomal RNA". It matches the Rfam family "Bacterial small subunit ribosomal RNA", at positions 524 to 776 of the family's 1533-position model. The record is from RNAcentral.